This 82-nucleotide transfer RNA is filed under the name Neolecta irregularis DAH-3. It matches the Rfam family "tRNA". From Rfam's summary of the family: Transfer RNA (tRNA) molecules are approximately 80 nucleotides in length. Their secondary structure includes four short double-helical elements and three loops (D, anti-codon, and T loops). The record is from Rfam by way of RNAcentral. Lineage: Eukaryota; Fungi; Ascomycota; Neolectomycetes; Neolectales; Neolectaceae.
GCCCGCAUGGCUUAGAGGUAUAGCGUCGCUCUUGUACUUGUGAGAGAAGCGAAGAUCGUUGGUUCGAGUCCGACUGUGGGCA